RNAcentral lists this ribosomal RNA (497 nucleotides) under uncultured bacterium. RNAcentral's name for it is "partial 16S ribosomal RNA". It matches the Rfam family "Bacterial small subunit ribosomal RNA", at positions 28 to 507 of the family's 1533-position model. The record is from RNAcentral.
GAUGAACGCUGGCGGCGUGCCUAAUACAUGCAAGUCGAGCGAACAGACGAGGAGCUUGCUCCUCUGACGUUAGCGGCGGACGGGUGAGUAACACGUGGAUAACCUACCUAUAAGACUGGGAUAACUUCGGGAAACCGGAGCUAAUACCGGAUAAUAUAUUGAACCGCAUGGUUCAAUAGUGAAAGACGGUUUUGCUGUCACUUAUAGAUGGAUCCGCGCCGCAUUAGCUAGUUGGUAAGGUAACGGCCUACCAAGGCAACGAUGCGUAGCCGACCUGAGAGAGUGAUCGGCCACACUGGACCUGAGGCACGGUCCAGACUCCUACGGGAGGCAGCAGUAGGGAGUCUUCCGCAAUGGGCGAAAGCCUGACGGAGCAACGCCGCGUGAGUGAUGAAGGUCUUCGGAUCGUAAAACUCUGUUAUUAAGGGAGAACGAAUGUGUAAGUACCUAUGCACGUCUUGACGGUGCCUAAUCAGAAAGCCACGGCUAACUACGUG